CUCAGCUGCUUGGUAUAACCCUAAAAUCUCUUUGUUCCUCUCACUUGCAUUGCUUCUACAGUCAGCCCCUGAUAUUACUUCUCCAUGAUGAUACCAAUCCUCCCGCAGCUUGUAACUCAAAUCCAUUCCCCUAGUUACUAGAUGAUCAACAACAACAUCGGCUGAGUGACGAUCUACAUUGCGACAGUCUAUGCAUGGGCAAAUGACCAACUCACACUCUGCUAAAUCUGCACCAACACACCUCACAAACUCCCACGCACCUCUCUCAUAACGAGGAUCAGCUCUUCGGUUAAGACACAUGAAAGCAUAAUUUUAACCCUUUUAAUCACACAAGAAACACAAAAAACAGUAACUAUAAUAUUUAUUGUUUUUCCUUACAUGUUUAGAUGAACCCAUGACUUUUCGACCAUUUUUAUGUUCUAAGUUUCUAACCGAUAACCAACAAAAUAAAACAAACCCAUAAGAGUAUGUCAAACACCAAACACGCACAUUGUCAUUCACAUAAGAACCAAUAAACAAUCAACUACUCAAUCGUCAAACAAUCAGAUACUAAAACUCACACAAUCAACACACAAUAUAAAAUGGUCGAAAAAGAAUCACCUCAAUAAGAUCCUUCAGAUUUCAACUCGACUUCACUCCA
Molecule: long non-coding RNA, 640 nt
Filed under: Brassica napus (rape)
Lineage: Eukaryota; Viridiplantae; Streptophyta; Magnoliopsida; Brassicales; Brassicaceae
Description: long non-coding RNA (BNAP_LNC015612)
Source: RNAcentral